This is a non-coding RNA of Elaeis guineensis (African oil palm), 2690 nucleotides long. NCBI's taxonomy places the organism in Eukaryota, Viridiplantae, Streptophyta, Magnoliopsida, Arecales, Arecaceae. The record is from RefSeq and is a predicted model, not a curated record.
GUGAUUGAAGGAAAGUAGAAGAUCCCGUGUGCGGUCCACGAAUGCGUGGGCUAACGACCACAGUAAUCCCCGUCCCUAUCUCCCUUAAUCUCGGCUCAGAUCGUAAAACCGGGAUUCGAUCUCUCUGGUGUUCUGUUUUGGCUGCUCCGCGUUUCAUCCCCCUGGAAUUUGUUGUGUGGGGGAGUAUUUAAGCCUCGUAUCGCAUUUGUCGAGCACGUCUCUUCGCCUUAUCUCUCUCUGUCUCUCUUUCUGCGGAGCGACGGCUUUCGGCUCUCCUCUUGCGUGUCGAAAACGCCGCCACCGAAAGAUAUGACGCAAAAGGCGGUCUUGUGGAAUUUUGAUGGUUAGAGUCUCUUCUUCGCCUCAAAUCGCGACCUUUUUGAUCGAAUAUAUGACGUGUGAUUGUGGAUGUAGUGAGAAUAGCUCAAAGCUCUGCUAAAUAUGGGACUUCCACCUUUUGGAACAGAUCAGAGCUUUGGGUUGCAUUUCUUUUCUCAGGUUUCUGUCACGUCAUAUAUAUCAGUCUAUUUAAGACUUUGGGGGCAGAAGAGAAAGCGUGACAAACUUAUCGGCAAAAAGGAGAUUUGACUUCAUCAUACGGUGUAUUAGAUUGACUUAUGCUCACAAGAUUUAUGUUCUUUUUUGGUUAUGCUUCAGCUCUGAGGAACCAUCCUGUGCUAGAGUAUUGAAAUUUGCGAUGCUUAUCUCCAAAUUUUGAUUUUGAAAUGGAUGAAUUUGUGGUUGAGAAAGCUGCUGGAGGGCAUGAUUUUUCUCGUAAAGGGUCCGGCAUUGUUUUUAUAGAUCAAAACCAUGAGGAUAGAAGCAUUCAAGAUUGCGACAGAUUAGGAUGCAGCACCAGCCUUAAUUCCAUGAAAGGGACCCAAAUUGGUGACCUAGAAAAAGCCAGAUAUGUAAAGGCUACUUUUUGCUCUGCGAGCGAUAAGACCAUUGCAGGAAGCUCUUCUAAAUCAUUAUCUUCAUAUAGCAGCUACCAAAAGUCUUUCCACGAACGACAGAAGCAAACAUUACAACGAGAGAAGGUUAAAGCAGAAAGCAGUAACACCCAAGGGAAUAUUGGAGAUUCAGAGGGCAGCAAUACACAGCAUUUCAUAGACAAAUCAUGGGAGCUAGAAGAUUCAGAAUGUUCAAAAUCCAAUCCCACAAAAGUUGGCAUUCAGAUGUUACUGCCGGAUUUGCCAAUUCUUGAACGGGUAUCUACAAACAGAUCAGACUCGCCAGGUCGCUGCACCAUCGCAUCGAGUUCAAAAUCACAUGAUCAAAUUAACCAUAAUUUUGGUUCGGGCAAUCAGACUGUUUCUUCAAGAUCCUUUUACCGGCAUUCUACUUAUGCAUCUAGAAACUUUGGGAAUGCUGCUAGCCCUGCUCCACAAGGUCUGGGUAUAGAGGCACAUAAGUGUGGUCUUAAAAGUCUAAUUUGCACAUCAGUAUCAGAUGUUCUUCCAUCAGUAUCAGAAUUCUCUCGUGGAGCGAAUUCUGCUGCCAAAGACGAGGGCACAAGUGGCCCCUCAACUGGAAGAUAUUCAGGUUCUACACAUACAGGCAUUUCUGGCUUAAGUCGAUCUCUUCCAGAACAUCGAAUACAUCGACAAACUUUGUUAAAUAUCAGGAGCAGACCUUCCAGCAGGGAUGAAGCAGCUUCAGUUAGAACACGUGUAACUUCUACUGGGGAUGCUAGAACAAGGCUGUCUGAGCAAGGGGUUGGUAAUACCCUUCCAGUACAUGAGCCUGUCGUGAUCGCUCCACCACAGCAGAAUCAAGUUUCUAUCUCAGAUGCUGAUCUGGAAACCUCAUCACGAUCAACUUCCACAGAGUUGCCAAAUGUCUCGCUUAAUUCAUCUGAACAUCGAGGUUCAAGUAGCAGGACUGCUCGAAGUAGAAUGGUUUCUUGUCCUGAAGAUGGGAGCACAAAUAUUCUCCAGGGCUCUUUGGGAGAUAGAGGCAGCUACAGACGCUUCAACAUGGACAGAAUUGAUGAGGUAUUGUUGGCUUUAGAGAGGAUUGAACGAGGCGAGGAAUUAACACCGGAGCAAUUAUCGGUGCUAGAGACAACUUUAUUCUCAGCAGGCGUUAGCUUCAGUGAUCGGCACAGGGACAUGAGAAUGGACAUUGACAAUAUGUCCUAUGAGCUCAAUAAUGUUUGGCGAACAGGAACUGCUAGCCCUGGAGGAGAAAAUGGGAACUGUAAACACAGGGCUUUCAAAGGACCAAUUGUCGGAAUGUCUCAAGAGAAGCUUAUACACUCCUGCUUCUGAAGUUUCGGGAAUCACUGGCUCUGGUGAUGAUACCAAAUGCAGCAUCUGCCAGGAAGAGUAUGUCAGUGAGGAGGAGGUGGGCAAUUUGACAUGCGAGCAUCGCUAUCAUGUGGCCUGCAUCCAUCAGUGGCUUGGGCUGAAGAAUUGGUGCCCAAUUUGCAAAGGAUCGGCUAUUACCCCGUAAAGAACGUCCAAAACUGAAGAAUCGGAUCUUCUCCGUCUGAAGGCAGCUUAGAGAAGCUAAACUAGAAUUGCAGGACCUUCUCUAGGUUCUUGUCCAAACGUCUGCAUACUUUUUUUUUUUAAUGAAAACGCUUGAGUAGAAAUAUUGAUAUCAGGGUCUUACCUUCAGUUUCAUUGGUUUGUAGGUAGUCCUUAUUUAUUUAUUUAUUUAUUAAAAACAUUUGCAUGCUUUAA